AUGACUCCAACUCCAAGACCCACAAGUACAAACAUUGAGAGGGUUUCAGACCUCAUAGACACGCGGAGUUGGUCUUGGAAGAUCGAGCUGAUCAAGGAUAAUUUCACGGCUCAAGAUGCCGCGGCCAUACUUAAUAUUCCUAUCAGGCAAGGCGGUGGUGAUGAUUUUCUUGCUUGGGCUUUUGACAUAUCAGGUAACUACACUGUAAAGACGGCGUACCGUGUUCUCGUGACUCAGAACGAGCGUUUGGCUCUAGAGGAAGGGACGGCUACCGAAACCUCAUCGGAUGAGCAACAAUUGUGGAAAUCCUUAUGGAAGCUGAAUGUUAUCCCAAAAGUAAGAGUGUUC
RNAcentral lists this ribosomal RNA (348 nucleotides) under Triticum aestivum (bread wheat). Its description in RNAcentral is "partial small subunit ribosomal RNA". The record is from RNAcentral. Lineage: Eukaryota; Viridiplantae; Streptophyta; Magnoliopsida; Poales; Poaceae.